RNAcentral lists this ribosomal RNA (415 nucleotides) under uncultured bacterium. Its description in RNAcentral is "bacterial SSU rRNA". It matches the Rfam family "Bacterial small subunit ribosomal RNA", at positions 28 to 411 of the family's 1533-position model. The record is from RNAcentral.
GACGAACGCUGGCGGCGUGCCUAAUACAUGCAAGUCGAACGCUUUCUUUUUCCACCGGAGCUUGCUCCAACCGGAAAAAGAGGAGUGGCGAACGGGUGAGUAACACGUGGGUAACCUGCCCAUCAGAAGGGGAUAACACUUGGAAACAGGUGCUAAUACCGUAUAACAAUACAAAACCGCAUUGGUUUUGAUUUGAAAGGCGUCUUUCGGGUGUCGCUGAUGGAUGGACCCGCGGUGCAUUAGCUAGUUGGUGAGGUAACGGCUCACCAAGGCCACGAUGCAUAGCCGACCUGAGAGGGUGAUCGGGUCACAGUUGGGACUGAGACACGGCCCAAACUCCGUACGGGAGGCAGCAGUAGGGAAUCUUCGGGCAAGUGGACGAAAGUCUGACCGAGCAACGCCGCGUGAGUGAAGU